Long non-coding RNA from Leopardus geoffroyi (Geoffroy's cat), 649 nucleotides. RefSeq lists it as uncharacterized. NCBI's taxonomy places the organism in Eukaryota, Metazoa, Chordata, Mammalia, Carnivora, Felidae. The transcript has 6 exons. The record is from RefSeq and is a predicted model, not a curated record.
UGGGCGCUACACUUGCGCAUGCGCAGCCUGUGAAGGUCCGGCUGUUGGCCCUGAGGGGCGAUCCCUGAGUCCCAGGGAGAUGGGUUAGAGCUUAAACGCCCGGAGUUUUACGGCUCUGUCGGUAAAAUCAUACAAAUAUGAGUAUGUGCUUAUGACAGAUGAAAGAGGGAUAGUCACCAGUAUGCUAAUGAUCAUCAUCUCUGGAAUGUGGGAUUUCAGUCCUCAUUCGGUGCCUCCAAAGCAAGAUGUUCACCUAUAUCUCAGGCAAGAUGGAACUCUGCCUUAAUAAAUUAAUGAUUACUCAAGAAUAGAGGACAUGUUUUACCUUUCAAAAAAAAAUCUUCUAGUGAAUGAAAUGUAAUCUAUACCAAUUUUAGCCAAAUCACCAGGAUUUUCAGCAGUUCUAUACUUCAGUGGCCCUUAGAUAACGGCCAAUAGAUAUGUUAUGCAAGAGACUCAUCUUGUUGAUGAUCUCAUCACUGUGUCUGUGACUUUCAAACCAGAGAUUCUGCUGUGGGACUUCUCUCUCGACAAGAUGCUGUUUCAAAAUUGAUUAGUUCUCCAACCCGCCCACUGAAAUCAUCCAACCUAUUGAAGAAGCAGAAUGGGAUGUGGAUUAUAGGGUUUCAGAUAACACCAAGUCCCUUGU